UAAUCUGGUGAACUUUGAGAAGCUGCACAUGAUCGCUGAUACGGUCCGACUCAUUCGCCACUGCCAGACGGAUCAGACAGGGAACGAGCUUUCUCCGUGUGACAGUCCUGAGGUGCUCUCCAGCAUCCAUUACCUUCACAUCAUCGACAAUCAGCAGACGCUGUUCGAGCUCUCGCACAGACUGGAGCCCCGAGUCUGAGACACAGAGACACAGAGACACAGAGAAAGAGCGCCGCCUGCUGGACAGAUUCAGACUAAAUCAGUGACUCUCUCAGAGCCUGGACACCACCAGAAAACACUUGUUUCUUAAUGUAAAAAAUUACUGGUGGUUGAUGAAAGCUUUUUCCUGUCCGGGGGAAAAGUGUGAACUUUUUCAGCAUUGUUUUGUUGAAAUGCAGUUGUCAAUGUUUAUUUAACUUCUACCAGCAACUCUGGACCAUAUUUAUAUUUGAAUUUAAUACUGCAGAUUGUUAGGGCUGGGCGAUAUGAUCAUAAAAUAAUAUAUACAAAAAUUAUAUUUAAAAUUUAAAAUAUAUAUAUAUUAAAUUUUAUUAUGUAAUUUUUCAGCCUUUUGAACAUGUUUAGUGUAUAUUGAUAUUUAUAUAUUUGGAUUUAAAGGCUGAUUUAUUUUACUCAAUUUCAACCAGUUUGAUUAAAAAUGUAUAAUGCAAAUUGAAAAUACAGUAAAAAUCAUUUGAACACAAGAACUGAUAUAUAUAAAAAACAUAAACAGCUAUAUUAACACACAAAAAAUAAUUGAAUCAUUUGAAUUGAUUCAUAGAACUGAUUCAUGAAAUCGAAUCAGACUUGCUUCUUUUUUAGGUCUGAAGUUCAAAUCAGAAACUUGAUGGCUAAAUAAUAGAAUCACACUGUUGUAUCAGUUUAUAAAUAUUAUGAUAUUUUGUAAACACAAAAACAAAUAUAACACGCGAAUGAAUCAUUGAAUCAUUUGAAACGAUUCAUUGAAACCGAUGGUUUGAACAACCAAAGUUCAAAUCAGAAACAUAGUGGCCAAAAUAAAAUCAUCACAACAUUGCUUCAGUCUUUAAAUAUAUACAAUAUUUUGUAAGCACAAGAGCAAAUAUAAAACACAAACAAAUCUCUGAAUCAUCUGAAUCGAUUCAUCGAUAGUUUGAAAUGAUUAAUGAAAAUUAAUCAAAAUUAAUUGCGUUUUACUACUAAUACAAUUAUUUGGCAGAAACUUAAUUGCCAAAUAAUAUAAUCACAUAGUUGUUUCAGUUUAUAUAUAUUAUGUUAUUUUGUAAACACAAAAACAAAUAGGCCUAUAACACGAAAAUGAAUCAUUGAAUCAUUUGAAUCGAUUCAUUGAAACCGAUGGUUUGAACAACCAAAGUUCAAAUCAGAAACAUAAUGACCAAAAUAAAAUAAUCACAACAUUGCUUUAGUCUUUAAAUAUACAUUAUUCUGUAAACACAUGAAACAAAUAUAACUUACUCAAACAAAUCACUGAAUCGAUUCAUCGAUAUAGACAGUUUGAAAUGAUUCAUGGAAAUGAAUCAAACUCAAUUGUGUUUUACUACUAAUGAAAUUCAAAUCACAAACUUAAUGGCCAAAUAAAAGUUAUCUUGGCUUCAGUUUACUAUAUUUUAUAAACACAAGAGCAAAUGUAACAUGCACAUGAAUCACUGAAUCAUUUGAAUCGAUUAAUUGAACUUAUUUAUGGAAAUGAAUCAAACUUACUUGCUUUUUACCGCAACUGAAGUUGAAAUCAGAAACUUAAAGGUGAAAUAACAUCACAGUGUUGCUUCAUUUUAUAAAUGUAUGAUAUUUUCUAAACAGAGUAUAUAUAUCGCCCGGCCCUACUUUAUAAACUGAGAGUGAAGGAACAAACACACGGUGUCAAAGGUCGCGAUGAUGAUGUCAUAUAGA
Molecule: long non-coding RNA, 1890 nt
Organism: Cyprinus carpio (common carp)
Lineage: Eukaryota; Metazoa; Chordata; Actinopteri; Cypriniformes; Cyprinidae
Exons: 3
Source: RefSeq, a predicted model, not a curated record